AUCCAGUUGACGAGUCCCAAGUUGGAUGAAAGGCGUGUCUUGGAU
RNAcentral lists this non-coding RNA (45 nucleotides) under Schistosoma mansoni. Lineage: Eukaryota; Metazoa; Platyhelminthes; Trematoda; Strigeidida; Schistosomatidae. The record is from RNAcentral.